AUGACAGCCGAUCCGUCGUCGUCGUCGUCGGCCGCGGCGGCGCCGUCGGUGAAGGGCGUGGCGAGGGCGCUGUCCCAGCACCACCGCGCCGUGGUCGGCUUCCUCUUCGGCUUCUUCGUCAUCCUCGUGCUCUACACCACCACGUCCGGCCAGUUCGGGACGACCAACACCAUUGUCGCCCUGCGGUCCACGCCGGCCGAACAGAAUGCCAGGACGUCUCCUCCACCUCCCCCUCCAGCGUCGACACCAGCGUCGUCGUCGGCGCCAAAUAAUAAUUCUACUCAAGGUGCAGUACAUGACAUGGAAAAUGGGAAGAAGGACGAGGCAGCCAAGACGAUGGGAGAAGUACGCAUCGUAGACAAAAACGUACCUGGAACCCAAAUGAAUAAAACGACUGUUAUUAAUUCAGAUACCGUGCAAGCGAAUAGGACAGACCAGUCAGGCCAGACAGUAAAUGAAGCUAGCGACAGGAUGGAGGAAGAGCUCAUUCGGCAAGAACUCGGUCAAGGUGGCGACAAGAACGAGAGCAACGUCAAGCAUGGUGCCCCGCCCAAGCCCAUCUGCGAUCUGUCCGACCCCCGGUACGACAUCUGCGAGAUCUCCGGCGACGCCCGGGCCAUCGGCGUCAACCGUACCAUCCUCUAUGUACCGCCCGCAGCCGAACGCAGCGCCGACGGCCAGGAAUGGGCCAUCAAGGACCAGUCCCGCAAGUACCUGGAGUACAUCGAGAAGGUGAAGGUCAAGACCCUGAGCGCCGCAGAGUCCCUGGUGGCGCCCGAGUGCACCUCCCGGCACGCCGUCCCGGCCGUCGUGUUCGCCAUGAACGGGCUCACGUCCAACCCGUGGCACGACUUCAGCGACGUGAUCGUCCCGCUCUUCAUCACUGCCCGCGCCUACGACGGCGAGGUCCAGUUCCUCGUCACCGACCUCCAGCCGUGGUUCGUGGACAAGUACCGCCUCAUCCUCGCGAACCUGUCCCGCUACGACAUCGUCGACUUCAACAAGGACGCCGGCGUCCGGUGCCACCCGCACAUCGUCGUCGGCCUCCGCAGCCACCGCGACCUCGGCAUCGACCCGACCCGCACGCCGCGCAACUACACGCUGCUGGACUUCCGCAUGUACAUCCGGGACAUCUUCUCGCUGCCGCCCGACGGCCUUGGCAUCCCGUACAAGGAGGCCAAUAAGAACGCGACCGGCGGCGUCGACGGUGGCACGGAGAAACGGAAGCCGCGGCUCAUGCUCAUCAACCGUGGCCGGAACAGGAAGUUCGUCAACAUCCCGGAGAUCUCCGCGGCGGUGGAGGCCGCCGGGUUCGAGGUGGUGGUCGUGGAGCCGCGCCGUGACCUGAGGCUCGAGGAGUUCUCCAAGGCGGUGGACUCGUGCGACGUGCUGAUGGGUGCGCACGGGGCCGGGCUCACAAACUUCUUCUUCCUCCGCACCAACGCGGCGAUGCUGCAGGUGGUGCCGUGGGGCCACAUGGAGCACUCGGCCAUGAUAUUCUACGGCGUGCAGGCCAAGGAGAUGAGGCUGCGGGACGUCGAGUACAGCAUCACCGCCGAGGAGAGCACGCUCUACGAGAAGUACGGCAAGGACCACCCGGCGGUGAGUGACCCGGAGUCGAUACAUAAGCAGGGGUGGCAGCUGGGCAUGAAGUACUACUGGCUGGAGCAGGACAUCAGGCUCAACGUCACCAGAUUUGCUCCAACGCUGCACCAGGUGCUUCGGACGCUCCAGGAAUAG
Molecule: ribosomal RNA, 1740 nt
Filed under: Triticum aestivum (bread wheat)
Lineage: Eukaryota; Viridiplantae; Streptophyta; Magnoliopsida; Poales; Poaceae
Description: partial small subunit ribosomal RNA
Source: RNAcentral